UACGUAGGGGGCUAGCGUUGUCCGGAAUCAUUGGGCGUAAAGAGCGUGUAGGCGGUCCGGUAAGUCCGCUGUGAAAGUCGGGGGCUCAACCCUCGAAUGCCGGUGGAUACUGUCGGGCUAGAGUGCGGAAGAGGCGAGUGGAAUUCCUGGUGUAGCGGUGAAAUGCGCAGAUAUCAGGAGGAACACCAAUGGCGAAGGCAGCUCGCUGGGACGGUACUGACGCUGAGGCGCGAAAGCGUGGGGAGCAAACAGG
RNAcentral lists this ribosomal RNA (253 nucleotides) under uncultured bacterium. RNAcentral's name for it is "partial 16S ribosomal RNA". It matches the Rfam family "Bacterial small subunit ribosomal RNA", at positions 524 to 776 of the family's 1533-position model. The record is from RNAcentral.